UAACAUAUUAUCAGGUUAACAC
Molecule: non-coding RNA, 22 nt
Filed under: Arabidopsis thaliana (thale cress)
Lineage: Eukaryota; Viridiplantae; Streptophyta; Magnoliopsida; Brassicales; Brassicaceae
Source: RNAcentral